UCGUAACAAGGUUUCUGUAGGUGAACCUGCAGAAGGAUCAUUAGUGAAAGUUUCGGGCCUGCCAUACGGACGCAAACACGUCUCUGGCGCCCAUCACUAUAUCCAUACCAACCCCUGUGCACUGUGAUGACGAAUGUCAUCGAACAAAAAAAAACUCGUAUGGUUGAAUGUACGUGAAAUUGUAGGUAUAGCCUACGAACUAUACACAACUUUCGACAACGGAUCUCUUGGUUCUCCCAUCGAUGAAGAACGCAGCGAAACGCGAUAGGUAAUGUGAAUUGCAGAAUUCCGUGAAUCAUCGAAUCUUUGAACGCACCUUGCGCUCCAUGGUAUUCCGUGGAGCAUGCCUGUUUGAGUGCCGCGAAUUCUCCCUCCCCUUACGGUGGCCGAAAGGCCGAAGUAGGGCGGACGGGGUAGGAUGGGUGUUUGCUGCCUGGGGAUUGUACCAGGCUCGCCCGAAAUGCAUAAGCGCCAGGACCCUCGCUACCGCUCUCUAGGGAAGAGUGGCUAAGCGACCGCUGAGCAUGGCAUGAUACGUCAUUUGCUGUGUGUGGGCGGCCGGUUGGAGAGGUGUCUGCUUUACCAGCCCUAUUUUAAUUCUGGUCUCAAAUCAGGUAGGAUCACCCGCUGAACCUAAGCAUAUCAAU
RNAcentral lists this unclassified non-coding RNA (647 nucleotides) under Malassezia sympodialis. RNAcentral's name for it is "sequence contains 18S rRNA gene, ITS1, 5.8S rRNA gene, ITS2, 28S rRNA gene". The stretch from base 208 to 361 matches the Rfam family "5.8S ribosomal RNA". Lineage: Eukaryota; Fungi; Basidiomycota; Malasseziomycetes; Malasseziales; Malasseziaceae. The record is from RNAcentral.